AGCGAACGCUGGCGGCAGGCCUAACACAUGCAAGUCGAACGAACCUUUCGGGGUUAGUGGCGGACGGGUGAGUAACACGUGGGAACGUGCCUUUAGGUUCGGAAUAACUCAGGGAAACUUGUGCUAAUACCGAAUGUGCCCUUCGGGGGAAAGAUUAAUCGCCUUUAGAGCGGCCCGCGUCUGAUUAGCUAGUUGGUUGAGGUAAUGGCUCACCAAGGCGACGAUCAGUAGCUGGUGUGUGAGGAUGAUCAGCCACAUUGGGACUGAGACACGGCCCAAACUCCUACGGGAGGCAGCAGUGGGGAAUCUUGCGGGAUGGGCGAUAGCCUGACGCAGCCAUGCCGCGUGAAUGAUGAAGGUCUUAGGAUUGUAAAAUUCUUUCACCGGGGACGAUAAUGACGGUACCCGGAGAAGAAGCCCCGGCUAACUUCGUG
This 434-nucleotide ribosomal RNA is filed under the name uncultured bacterium. RNAcentral's name for it is "partial 16S ribosomal RNA". It matches the Rfam family "Bacterial small subunit ribosomal RNA", at positions 29 to 507 of the family's 1533-position model. The record is from RNAcentral.